CUAUGGCUUUGGGGCCUGUCUGAGGGGCCGAGCCUGGGCUCCGGGGCGCGCCAUGGGGGUCACGUGACUCGGCCGGGGUGAAGGCGCCCGGAGCGGUUGGGGAGCUCCGGAGAGGCCGCCGCCCGCCCUCCCGCUCGGGGGAGCCCCGGCCGGGCCCUGAGCGGGCCGAUGGCGGCACGACGGGCUUUUCCCCGGCCUCGCGGCCAGGACCUUGUUUGGCUUCUGAGAUAAGAAUCGGCGACCCUCAGCACUUGUCGGGCAAACGUGGCCGGUAAACAGCCGGUUAAACAUUGCCCGCCGCCCGCCGGGCAUAUUUACCGCCUGCGUUUGCUCAGCCGAGCCUCCGCCUUGGAGGCGGCCCAAAGGCCGGCGCCAGGCCGGCCCUCCCCCGCCCCGCCGACGGGCCGCAGUAGGGCAGGGGUGACUGCGGGCCCAGGCCGCCCCCGCCCCGGGGCCCUCCUGACCAGCCCUCUCCGUCUUCCUAGAUCAUGACCGUACGUGCCAGGGUGGAGAUGCUGGCCAAGUUGUAAGUCCCGAGGCUGCCAUGGGCCAGGCCGCUGGCCAUUGCUUGCAUGGUGACAUUCUGGGUCCUUGCGGGCGCUGGCAGGCAGCGGGCACAAGGCGGGCACAGAGGCCGCCCGCGGGCCUCCCUCUCGCCCCCUUCGCCCGCCGCCCUGGCAUCUCCCGCGCCGUGGCGGAGCUGGGACGGUGCUGCCGAACGAGGUCCCAGAGCGGAGGGCAGGCGCGGGCCGAGCGGGGCGGUCGGGGCCGAGGCCAGGCCAGGGCAGGGGGAGCGGGCACGGCCGCGCCAGGCCCGCAGGACCGAUUUCGCAGCACCGGCCCUUCCCUCCGGCCACAGCCCGAGCCCGCAGAAGAGAUCACCACCCUCAGGAACCGGAUCGACCAGGCCCAGAAGCACAGCAAGAAGGCGGGCGCAAAGGGCAAGGUCGGCGGGCGCUGGAAGUGAAGCCGAGGGCCGACGUCCAGAGCGAAGGCCCGUCGUCCCCCCGCCCGUGGCCCCCCUCCUGUCCUGCCCCUCCCGGCCCCCCCCCAAGGGCUCCAGGAGAUUCCUCAGAGCGGGAAAGGGGGCGCCUCGUGGAGCUUCCCAACAGACCCCGCGUCCCCCAACCCCCGUCUCCCAGAGCCCCCUCCAGGCCUGCGGGCCCCCUCGGGGGCUUGUCAAUAAAGCUCACGUGACCCCCUUCUCGGCUGCUCCUUUGUGGGUUGGGCUUUGGCCCUGGGGGCUGCUUGGGGGUGACUCCCGGGGGUGGGCACCGCUGGGCACAGCCCACUCCCCAAAGGGAUCCCCCUCCGCUCCCUUCUCUUCCCGGUCUCGGCUCUCUGCCCCUCGGUGGCCAUGA
This 1361-nucleotide long non-coding RNA is filed under the name Monodelphis domestica (gray short-tailed opossum). Its description in RNAcentral is "lncRNA (ENSMODG00000036852.1)". Lineage: Eukaryota; Metazoa; Chordata; Mammalia; Didelphimorphia; Didelphidae. The record is from RNAcentral.